This 216-nucleotide unclassified non-coding RNA is filed under the name Hevea brasiliensis (rubber tree). Lineage: Eukaryota; Viridiplantae; Streptophyta; Magnoliopsida; Malpighiales; Euphorbiaceae. The record is from RNAcentral.
GGUGGCGCAGCCGGAGCUUGUGUUAGCCUCUUCAGAGGGUGAUGUUGUGGAGGCUUAGGGUUAGGGAGCUUGUGUUGGCCUUCUCUGAGGCGAUGAUGGAGAUGUUUGGGAAAUAAGUUAGCAUCGUGUGGGGGGAAUAAGAUAUGUAGCCUUUAUUUUCGAUUUGUUCCUUCUUCUUUUUUUUCUUUGUUAUGUUGAAUAUAAUGUCGAACUUGG